CUGCGUUUAUGGGGUCCCCGCCCAUGGAAGCUUUCCCCCCGUCAGCGGGUUUCCACUGUACCGGGAGUCCUAGACGAUCCCCUGGUCGUGCGGCCCCUCCCCCGCUCCUUCCCAGACCCGCGUGGCGAUCCCGGUUUCUAGGGGAUGGAGCGAUGUUCUCUCUUACCCCGUUCCAGCUCCUCCGAGGUGGGCAGUAGGGGCUCCGUCUUCUGUCUUUUGAUACUGUAGGUCUCUGAGUCCUGGCAUUAGGUUCAUUAGCUGAAAUUCAGAUGAAGAUAUGGAGGCUCAAAGAGUUUCAGUCACUUAACCUAACGUCACCCAGUUGGUAAGCAGCAGAAUGGACACUUUGUCUGUUUGGCGCCAAAGCCCAUGAUCCUGCAUUCCACGUGGGCCCUGGGGACGGUGCACUUCGGCAGGGCUGGGAUCAGCGGAGGUGAAUGAGGCAAGCAUGAGGAUUACACAUCUCUGCUCCCCUUGUAGUCCUGAGAGGCCAUGUGACUAGGUCUGACCAAUGGGUGGUGAACAGCGGUGAUCCUGUUAUUUCUGAGCUGAUGCAUUUGAUUGUGGGUCUAAAGGCCUCCACCAUUCUCUCCUGCACACUGACUGAGGAGGCAGCAUGUCCCAGAUGGUAAAGCUACAGGAUGGUGGCAUCUCUGUCUGCCUGGAUUGCUGAGUCACAACAUGGAGGGCAGCUGCUCUAGAAGUGACCCAGACCUGCAGUGGGUAUUGUAUGCAUGGGGAAUCAACUUUGGUUGUGUCAAGUCAUCAAUGUCUUGAUAUGGCUUGUUCCCAAACCAUUCCCUCACCUAGUCUGACUAAUACUAUUGAAAAGCUGAAAUUUUAAAAAAUCUGAUUAAAAGAAAAAACUAUCAAUACUGAAAGUAAAUUACAAAAAUGAGGAAAAAAAUUGUGCUGUUGUCAAAUGCAGAUUAUACAUGGUUUAAUUUUUGGCACGUAAGGUCUAGCGUUCAGAGGAGCAUCCAAGAAACUUUAUGAGCAUAACAUGCUGAUGGGAAUUUUAUCCAUUUGGCAGAAGUCAGAGCAAAAUUUGAUAAUAUUAUGGCAGAACAUUUAUGCAUGAUAUAAAUAUUGACACCAAAUAAUAUUGCACCUAUUUAGGGAAUGAAAUACAAAACCAAAUAAUUAAAAUUGUAGCAGAUGUAAUGAAUAAAAUCAGUGUGAAUAAGGUAAGAAGAGCUAAAUAUUACUCAUUAUUUUGGCUACAAAUCUUGAUGUUGUUGUAUUUGAGACACAACCCCUGAUGAAUACAGAAUAGAUAACAAUUUCUGUUAGACUUGUAGAUUCCAAAAAUGCAAAUGUUUCUAUAUGUAAACAUGUUUUGGGAUUUUUUUCCGGUGAAUGACACAACUAGAGAAGGAUUAUAAACAAUAUUAGCAGACCACUUACAAAAACAAUCAAGAAUAAAGUAAUUUGUGGGAACACAGAUAUCAUAAUACUGCAAAUAUGCAGAGAAAACAC
RNAcentral lists this long non-coding RNA (1479 nucleotides) under Equus caballus (horse). RNAcentral's name for it is "lncRNA (ENSECAG00000045541.1)". Lineage: Eukaryota; Metazoa; Chordata; Mammalia; Perissodactyla; Equidae. The record is from RNAcentral.